Molecule: long non-coding RNA, 2728 nt
Filed under: Equus caballus (horse)
Lineage: Eukaryota; Metazoa; Chordata; Mammalia; Perissodactyla; Equidae
Description: lncRNA (ENSECAG00000035022.2)
Source: RNAcentral
AGACGAUAGGGCAUGGUGGGGAGUGCAGCAAAGUUAAAGCAGUCAGUUCUUGUUCAGCCUCAGCUGACUGCUACUAUGUUAGCAUGCCAGAUCUUCCAAUUUUGGGAGAAAAUCUGGGUUAUUGUGAGGUAUCUCCCAAUAUUUGAAUGUUUUAAGUUUAUUAGUGAAAAUGUUUCCAAACCAUUCCAGCCAAACAAAAUACAAAUAUGGCCUAGAUCUAGCCUGCUCAUUGGAAGCCGGAUCAAGGGAGAGACACUCUUCACAGGUGCCUGGUUUUCCCUUCAGCUCUGGAGGAACUGAUGCUCAAGUGUGGACGCCGUCCUUCCUGUGGUUGACACUCAUUCUAGGUGGAGCCCUGCAGAAUUUCCUCCCUAUGUCCCCCCACCCCCAAUGUUGUACCUUAUUCUCAGACAGGGGUUCUGCCUUUGUUCUCAGCUCCUUAUGUCCACCUUUGAUUAAGUGCAAAUUGUUCUACAGCAGAUUGAUAUCCCCAGGGAUUUUAAUAUCACAUGUGGUACAAACCAGAGGUCCCCCAAAUCCUGCAGCCCUCCAGGAUUUUUAAUAUCUGGAAAAAUAUAACUGGAACCCCCCUGCCACCAAAGCACAUUCAAUGCAAAACUGCCAAUUCUGCACACUGUGAGGAUUGCUGUGCAUGAUACAAUUCUCCCCUUUGUCAAAUGCAUGGUGAUGUCCUUCCUUCCAACAUGGGAGCAAAAACGUCUUUCUUGCAUUCUCCAGCACUAUUAAUCCAAUGGUAUUAUGUGUAACACAGUAAAAGUUUAGGGACGGUAGCACAGAAUGGCCACACAAACAAGAAAGCAAUCUAAAUGGGAUAUUAAUCCCCAGCAUCCAUCUCCACACCAUGGAGCCUCAUACCAGCUGUGUAUCUCCUGUCGCCAUGCUGCUGGGGCCUCAUCUCUCACGGCAGAAGAAGACCAGCUCCCGUCCCCAUCACCUCCAUCGCCACGAAGAUCAAUGCCGCCCACAGUCUCUUCUCUCUUAGCCACAAUCUUAGGAUUCCCGUGAUUUUAUUAGGUGGAGAAAUUUUAGCCAAUUCUUCAGCUCAACCUCCUGACUAGUCCUGGGCUUUCUGUUUAGACACUCGAAAAGUCACUGAUUUGCUUUGAAAAAUAAGUGUAUAGGUCCUCUCCCUGAAAUGAAUUUCAUAGGCCUUCUUGAAUAUGGAGAUUUUUCCACAACACUGUUGAGAGGCUGAAUACACAAACGGAUGAUCUCAGACCCUACGUAAAAAUAGAACUCUGAUCGACAGUGUGUCAUAACCAGCCCGGGAAGUUGACCCAUCACUUACAGUAACCGACCCAAGAAGCCAGCCUGCUAUCGACAAGUCAGACUUGUAGGAAGUCAGACCACGUCUCUGGCAACAUAUUGAGGAAAUCAAACCAUAACCCCUGUAUCCAUCCAAAAUGUCCAGGACUCUAUGAAUAACUUGGCCUCCCUAAUUUUUGUUCCUGCUUCUAGUACCAACCAGAAAAAGCCAAAUGUGUACCCUAACCAGUCACACUAGACACCCCGCUUCUACUUAGCCCAACUCCAGCUUCCCUAGGUCAACAGCCUCUGAUCAGAGUACCCCUGAAGCCUUCUCUCUUCUUCUCUAUGAAGCUUUCCCAACCCUCUGCUGCCAAAACACGAGUGAUGGUGGCCAACUUGCUUACUAUAGCAAGCCCUGAGUGAAUAGCCUCCGUUUGUUCUCAUGUGGUUGGUUGCUAUGGACCGAAUGUUUGCAUCCCCCUAAAUUUUGUGUGUUGAAGCCCCGCCCCCAAUGUGAUGGUGUUGGGGGGUGGGCCUUUGGGAGGUAAUUAGGUAUAGAUGAGAUCAUGAAGGUGGAGCCGCCAUGAUGAAACUAGUGUCCUUAUAAGAAGAAGAAAGACCAGAGUUCUCUGUCUCUCUCUUUCUCCCAUGUAACAACACAGCAAAGAAGGCGGCCGUCUGCGAGUCAGGAAAAGAGCCCUCCCAGGGAACUAAAUCAGCCAGGGCUUGGAUCUUGGACUUCCCAGCCUCCAGAACCACGAGGAACAAAUUCCUUUUGUUUCAGAUUCCAGUCUGUAGAAUUUUGUUAUGGCAGCCUAAGCUGGGGCAUUGGCCUUGAUUUCUGAAACUGGUUUUGGUCACGUUCAUUUUAUGUUGAUGGGCGACGGAGAGGGACUUGUUAAACAGCAUGAACGUAUGUCAGCAUCCUUCCCAGAAAUCCACGGAUGGGUUGUGAACAGUGAAACUGAAAUCAAAUUUCACGGGGGUGGUUUUUGGCAGCUUCACGGGCUGAGGCAGAGUAGGGAAGGGUGUGUGGUCAUGGCCGUUAGGGGAGAGGUUGUGUUAGACACACACAAUAUCUUUCCAGCUCAAACUGGCCCAAUGGAGAAAACAAAACAAAACAAAAGCAGUGUUGACUCAUUCAGCUUGAAAAGUUCUGAAGGACACUGGCCUCAGGCACAGAGGGUUCCGGAGCUCGGUCAACGUCACCAAAGCCCUUUUUCUUUAUUUGUUAGCCCCGUAGCUCUGCUGUCCUCUGUUGGCUUUGUUCUCGGGCAAGCUCUUGCCACAUAUUUGGCUCUGAGGUUGCCCGGUCCAGCCUCCUCCCCACCGUGUGUCCUUCCUGCUUCAGAGAUGUAAUGGGGAGACUUCCUUUUCUGUUGAACCAGGGUCCUUAUGUCCACACUUUGUGGCUUCUGGAUGCAACUUCCUUCCCACUCGCCAACCUUUUCUGUGUUCA